RNAcentral lists this ribosomal RNA (1917 nucleotides) under Triticum aestivum (bread wheat). Its description in RNAcentral is "partial small subunit ribosomal RNA". The record is from RNAcentral. Lineage: Eukaryota; Viridiplantae; Streptophyta; Magnoliopsida; Poales; Poaceae.
AUGGCGGACGGCGAGGGCGGCGCCGACGGCCUGGCGGAGAGGCUCGCGGGGGCGGAGAUCGCCGCGGACGGUGGCGGCGGCGAGGAGCCGAGGGUCUCGAAGAACGCCCAGAAGAAAGAGGAGAAGAGGAGGAAGCAGGAGGAGCAGCGCCGGCUCAAGGAGGAAGAGAAGAAGAACAAGGCGGCUGCUGCGGCGGCGGCCGGUGGAGCGCCCCAGCAGGCGGCUGCGGCGGCCGAUGAUGAGGACAUGGAUCCUACUCAAUAUUACGAGAACAGGCUCAGGACCCUUGAUGCACUCAAGGCCGGGGGUGCCAACCCCUAUCCGCAUAAGUUCCUAGCUAGCAUCUCUGUGCCUGGAUAUAUUGAGAAAUACAAGGGCCUUAAUGAGGGGGAGAAGCUUGCUGAUGUUACAGAGUGUCUAGCAGGGAGGAUCAUGAACAAGAGAACAUCAUCUUCUAAGCUCUUAUUUUAUGAUCUUUAUGGUGAUGGCGUGAAGGUUCAAGUAAUGGCUGAUGCCAGGACCUCGGAGUUGGAAGAUACUGAAUUCUCUAGUUUCCAUUCUGGUGUGAAGCGAGGGGAUAUUGUUGGUAUAUGUGGAAUUCCAGGAAAAAGCAAUAGAGGGGAGCUCAGUGUAUUCCCACGGAAAUUUGUUGUGCUCUCUCCUUGUCUUCAUAUGAUGCCCCGGCAGAAGAGUGAAGGAAGUGCGGUGCCUACACAAUGGGCCCCAGGAAUGUGUAGGAAUAUCGAAAAGUAUGUUUUGAGGGACCAGGAAACUCGUUAUCGUCAACGAUACCUUGAUCUUAUGGUAAACCAUGAAGUGAGACAUAUCUUCAAGACCCGAUCCAAGAUUGUCUCGUUUAUUCGAAGGUUUCUUGAUGGACUUGAUUUUUUGGAGGUGGAGACUCCAAUGAUGAACAUGAUUGCCGGUGGAGCCGCUGCAAGGCCUUUUGUCACACACCAUAAUGAUCUAAACAUGAAGCUUUAUAUGCGUAUUGCACCUGAGCUUUAUCUGAAGGAAUUGGUUGUUGGUGGAUUGGACCGUGUCUAUGAAAUUGGGAAGCAGUUCAGGAAUGAAGGGAUUGAUUUAACACAUAAUCCUGAAUUCACAACAGUCGAGUUUUAUAUGGCGUAUGCAGAUUACAAUGACUUGAUGGAGCUUACUGAAGCCAUGAUAUCUGGUAUGGUUAAGGAGCUGACAGGUGGGUAUAAGAUAAAAUAUCAUGCCAAUGGAGUUGAUAAUCCACCGAUAGAGAUUGAUUUCACGCCUCCCUUUAGAAGGAUAGACAUGAUUGAAGGACUGGAGGCUAUGGCCAAACUGGAGAUACCAAAAGAUAUAUCCAGUGAUGAAACAAACAAGUAUCUGAUAGAUGCAUGUGCCAAGUAUGAUGUUAAAUGUCCACCUCCCCAGACAACAACACGGCUGCUUGACAAGCUAGUGGGCCAUUUCUUGGAGGAAACAUGUGUGAACCCAACAUUUAUUAUCAACCACCCAGAGAUAAUGAGUCCAUUGGCAAAGUGGCAUAGGUCCCGACCUGGGUUGACAGAAAGGUUUGAGCUCUUUGUUAACAAACACGAGGUGUGCAAUGCCUACACUGAGUUGAACGAUCCUGUUGUGCAAAGGCAACGGUUUGAGGAACAAUUAAAGGAUCGUCAAUCUGGUGAUGAUGAAGCUAUGGCUUUGGACGAAACAUUCUGCACUGCCCUCGAGUAUGGACUGCCUCCGACUGGUGGUUGGGGUUUGGGAAUUGAUCGCCUUACAAUGAUGCUGACAGAUUCCCAGAACAUCAAGGUUAGGUUAUUUCCAUUAUUUGUGUUCUUUCAUGCAGUGCAACACUUUUUGACUUGCAUUACGGAACUCAUCUUUCUGAUGCAUUUUCAGGAAGUUCUCCUGUUCCCGGCCAUGAAGCCCCAAGAGUAG